Long non-coding RNA from Myripristis murdjan (pinecone soldierfish), 90 nucleotides. RefSeq lists it as uncharacterized. NCBI's taxonomy places the organism in Eukaryota, Metazoa, Chordata, Actinopteri, Holocentriformes, Holocentridae. The transcript has 3 exons. The record is from RefSeq and is a predicted model, not a curated record.
ACCCCCUAUCGGACUGGAUGUUCAGAAAGUCCCUCUGCCUCUCCCGACGGGUGAAGCGGAUGCAGGUGGAGCGGGAAAACGACCGCAGGC